Molecule: ribosomal RNA, 420 nt
Filed under: Fusobacteriota bacterium
Lineage: Bacteria; Fusobacteriati; Fusobacteriota
Description: Fusobacteria bacterium partial 16S ribosomal RNA
Rfam family: Bacterial small subunit ribosomal RNA
Source: RNAcentral
UGGGGGAUAUUGCACAAUGGGCGAAAGCCUGAUGCAGCGACGCCGCGUGGGGGAUGAAGGCCUUCGGGUUGUAAACUUCUUUUGCUCUGAACAAGGCAUGCCUUUGGGGUGUGUUGAGUGUAGGGGUUGAUUAGCGCCGGCUAACUACGUGCCAGCAGCCGCGGUAAUACGUAGGGCGCGAGCGUUGUCCGGAAUUAUUGGGCGUAAAGGGCUUGUAGGUGGCUGGUUGCGUCUGUCGUGAAAGCUCAUGGCUUAACUGUGGGUUUGCGGUGGGUACGGGCUGGCUUGAGUGCAGUAGGGGAAGCUGGAAUUCCUGGUGUAGCGGUGGAAUGCGCAGAUAUCAGGAGGAAUACCGGUGGCGAAGGCGGGUCUCUGGGCUGUUACUGACGCUGAGGAGCGAAAGCGUGGGGAGCGAACAGG